Molecule: long non-coding RNA, 1222 nt
Organism: Brassica napus (rape)
Lineage: Eukaryota; Viridiplantae; Streptophyta; Magnoliopsida; Brassicales; Brassicaceae
Exons: 4
Source: RefSeq, a predicted model, not a curated record
AUCUGUUUGAUGUAAGCUCUUUUCUCAUUAUCACACAAGUAAACGACGACAAAAGAAACAUCGUCAUCUCCGUACCGCUUCGUCUUCUCCGAUUAGAUUCCAUAGAAACUGAUCCCCCUCUACACAAUCAAUCCCAUCCUUUAGUUCGAGCAAUUAAUUUCGUCUUGAUGAUUUCGUUCCAGCUCCCUUUGUUCCUCCUUCUUUAUAUACCGAUCUAUUUUCAAGAACGAAUUGUAAUCGUUGUUUGAAAAAAAAAAUCAUUGGGAAAGCCUUCCUCAAUUUUUGGUUGUGGUGAAGCCUUUUUAGUGAAAAGUUUGCACUGUUUUCCAAUUUAUAUUUUGUCACUUAAAGAAUUAUGGCCUCCAAUCUCCCGGCCCUCGAUUGGAACAUGUUCAUGGCGAUGUACAUGACCAUUUGCAAGCCCUCACGAAUGGUUUCCAGAGGUUGGAGUUACUAUACAACAAUUUCUCGAACAAAAAACAGCUCACUGGAGUAGAAGAAUGCGGAUACUAAAUGCCAGUGUAGCCACAGGUAAUCUCCACUGGAAAAUAGUCAUGUUUACAUCAACAAGAUGAAUCAGUGAUGAUAAUGAAGUUAUGGGAUCCACAUUCGUCUUUUACUCGAGCAUCCUCUUUGAGAAACGCCAAAUGAAAGACUGUAAAAGGUAUGUCUUGGCUUUGUCAUCUAGGCAUUUAGUGUUAGUUUAUUUUGUGAUAACGAGAUUUUUUGUUAGGAUCAUCUAUAUAAUGUACACACAUGUUGGUGACUAAGUUUGCAACAUCUUAGGAACAAUGAAAUAGCCGGUGAGGAGAUUCGUUUAUGAAAAUUUGAUUCUCACUUAAUGUAUGUUCCCCAUGAUUAUAGAUAAAUAAGCGACAUUAAUGAGCUCUCAAGUAUCUUAUAGAUUUCCAGUGGAAAAAGGUUGAAGAACCAAAAGAGUUCACACUUGAGCUGUUCUUUGAGGCUUAUUGCACUGAAGAACAAUGAGAUUGCCGGUCUGGAGGUUCGUUAUUAGGAUAUGUUCUUAAAGAAAAUGUUACUCUCUUUCUAGAUGGAUUUCCAAUGAUUAUACUAAAUAUAAGCAAGAUGAAUGAACUCGCAAGUAUCUCAAAGAUAUCAAAUUGAAUAGGUUUAAGAACCAAAAAGAUUCACGCUUGAUCUUUUCUUUGAUUAGAACCCUUACUACCAUAACACUGUCUUCACCAAGACAUCUCACAUGAUU